CCAAGGCCCCACCUCCCAGAUUCCGACCAGUCAAUCUGGAAUGGGCCUGAGGAUCUUUAUUAUUUUUUUAAUUUUGAGACAGAGUCUCACUCUGUCGCCCAGGCUGGAGUGUGGUGGCACGAUCUCAGCUCACU
Molecule: long non-coding RNA, 134 nt
Organism: Sapajus apella (tufted capuchin)
Lineage: Eukaryota; Metazoa; Chordata; Mammalia; Primates; Cebidae
Exons: 3
Source: RefSeq, a predicted model, not a curated record